This is a long non-coding RNA of Leopardus geoffroyi (Geoffroy's cat), 908 nucleotides long. RefSeq lists it as uncharacterized. The transcript has 2 exons. NCBI's taxonomy places the organism in Eukaryota, Metazoa, Chordata, Mammalia, Carnivora, Felidae. The record is from RefSeq and is a predicted model, not a curated record.
AGCCCAACGCGGGACUUGAGCUCAAGAGCCCCAAGAUCGUGACCUGAGCCAAAGUCAAGACGCUUAACUGACUGAGCCACCCAGGUGCCCCUUAACCACCUUCAAAUGUACACUUCAGUGGCAUUAAGGACAUCACACUGUUGUGCAACCAUCACCACCAUCCGUCCCCAGAACACUUUUUAUCGUCAAGAUGGACUUUCUGGUAGAGGGGCAGGUCUCAUUCCCCCACCUGGUACCUGGACUUCUUUGACUUUCCACAUUCUUUAUAUCAUGGCCUUCUAAUCUCAGUGUUUUCUCCAGACUUCCAUGCAGAAGUCCAAUGCAAGGGAGGUUUGGGUGACCAAAUGGAUCAGGCAAAUGCUGUUCUACUUCAUCUCCAAAGUGAAGAAAUAAUAACAGGUGGCUUCUGGUUUCAUCCUACGAACACACACCAUUUAAAAGGUCCCCAAAGAACUGUAUCAAUUCUGUAUAAUUCAGGCCACCGUGGCGACUUGAGUUUCUCGAAUGUGGGCCAUCACAGUCUUGAACCAAAGUCCUUUCCACCCAUGGAGGAAGACGUAGGGCCUUCUCUAUGUAUGGGAAAGAGACCCAGACAAGCCAGUGUAGAAUCUGCCUGGCCUCCAGGAGAGAAGAAGAACCCGAAUUAGGGGACAUUUACGUUAAUUUUCCAAGGACUUGCCUGCAAAUGAAUUUUGCAUGAAAAUAAUUGUUAUUCUAGAUCAGAUGAUUUUCUCAUAUUUUAGUGAGAUCAAAGAAAGACCAUUUUAUUUCUGUCGAAGCUAAUCUUGUGGAGGAAAAAAAUUCUAAGUUCUGAGUACCACAUUAAAGAAGGUAAAGUUUUAGACUGACAGCUAACCUCAUGUGUGGAAACCUAUACAAAUGUGAAUAAAGAAAUGACUAAUUCAGAA